UUUUUUUGAGACGGAGUCUCGCUCUGUCGCCCAGGCUGGAGUACAGUGGCAGAGCUUGGAGGCAAGCUCUGCCUCCAAGGUUCAUGCCGUUCUCGUGCCUCAGCCUCCCGAGUAGCUGGGACUACAGGUGCCCGCCACCACGCCCGGCUAAUUUUUUUGUAUUUUUAGUAGACACGGUUUCACCGUGUUAGCCAGGAUGGUCUCUAUUUUCUGACCUCGUGAUCCGCCCGCGUCCGCCUCCCAAAGUGCUGCGAUUACAGGUGUGAGCCACCGCGUCUGGCCGAAACCUUGUUCUUUCAAGUCCACAUAAACGUUGCUAUUUGAAAUUAUAUCAGAACGAGUGAAAAGUCCCAUCCUUGCCUGGAGGAUCUAAGUCUCUUUGACGCAGAGAAGCAGCCUCAAUUUCUAUCCAGAGACAGGGUCUUGAACUCCUAGCCUCAAGUGAUCCUACUGCCUCCACCUCCCAAAGUGUUGAAAUUACCGGCCUGAGCCACUGUGUCUGGCUCCUAUGUUGUCCUUAUAAGAACACCAUGUGAAGAUACAGAGACACACAGGGAAAAAGCCCAUGCGAAGACAGAGACAGAGACUGAAGUGCUGCAGCUACAAGCCAAAGAAUGCUGAGGAUUGCUGGCAACCACCAGAAGCUAGGGGAGAGGCAUGUGUGGUUUCUGCUGCAGACCCUCCAGAAGGAACUAACCCUGCUGACAACUUGAUUUAGGAGUGCUGGCUUCCUGAAUUGUGAGAGAAUAAAUUUCUGUUCUUUAAAGCCACCAAGUUUGCAGUAGUUUGUUAUGGUAGCCCUAGGAAAUACAGGGGCGUUGGGGGAAAUAGGGAACCAUUGCUAAUCAGUACAAGGUUUCUUUUUGGGGUGAUGAAAAUGUUCUAAAAUUGUGGUGAUGGUUGCGUAACUCUGUGGAUAUAUUAAAAACCACUGAAUAAUACAUUUUUUUUUUUUUUUUUUUUUUUUUAGUCUUGCUCUGUUGCCCAGGCUGGGGUGCAGUGGCUUGAUCUCAGCUCACUGCAACCUCUGCCUGUCAGGUUCAAGC
Molecule: long non-coding RNA, 1046 nt
Filed under: Homo sapiens (human)
Lineage: Eukaryota; Metazoa; Chordata; Mammalia; Primates; Hominidae
Description: HSALNT0119816
Source: RNAcentral